This 531-nucleotide ribosomal RNA is filed under the name Aeromonas sobria. Its description in RNAcentral is "bacterial SSU rRNA". It matches the Rfam family "Bacterial small subunit ribosomal RNA", at positions 8 to 526 of the family's 1533-position model. The record is from RNAcentral. Lineage: Bacteria; Pseudomonadati; Pseudomonadota; Gammaproteobacteria; Aeromonadales; Aeromonadaceae.
AGAGUUUGAUCAUGGCUCAGAUUGAACGCUGGCGGCAGGCCUAACACAUGCAAGUCGAGCGGCAGCGGGAAAGUAGCUUGCUACUUUUGCCGGCGAGCGGCGGACGGGUGAGUAAUGCCUGGGGAUCUGCCCAGUCGAGGGGGAUAACAGUUGGAAACGACUGCUAAUACCGCAUACGCCCUACGGGGGAAAGGAGGGGACCUUCGGGCCUUUCGCGAUUGGAUGAACCCAGGUGGGAUUAGCUAGUUGGUGGGGUAAUGGCUCACCAAGGCGACGAUCCCUAGCUGGUCUGAGAGGAUGAUCAGCCACACUGGAACUGAGACACGGUCCAGACUCCUACGGGAGGCAGCAGUGGGGAAUAUUGCACAAUGGGGGAAACCCUGAUGCAGCCAUGCCGCGUGUGUGAAGAAGGCCUUCGGGUUGUAAAGCACUUUCAGCGAGGAGGAAAGGUUGGCAGCUAAUAUCUGUCAGCUGUGACGUUACUCGCAGAAGAAGCACCGGCUAACUCCGUGCCAGCAGCCGCGGUAAUAC